Molecule: long non-coding RNA, 2156 nt
Organism: Dama dama (fallow deer)
Lineage: Eukaryota; Metazoa; Chordata; Mammalia; Artiodactyla; Cervidae
Exons: 5
Source: RefSeq, a predicted model, not a curated record
GUCUUUCUUCUUUUCAGCCUCAAUGCUUUCAUUCCUAUGUAUUUGAUUCCUGUUUAUUUAAUUUUUACUUAUCAUCAUAUAUAAAGUUUAUUCUUAGUAAGUGUUUAUAAGGAAAACAUAAACUUUCUUCUUUGCAACUUGCAACUGCAGAAAUUUCCACUAGGUUGAAUUUUACUGUAAAAUAGUUCCUUUCACUGGGAAAUACCCAGACUUGUGAGCCCAGAUGUCCAAGUUUGAAAACAUAGUCCUAUUCUUACUGGCCACAAAUAUAAACAUCUGACUCAAGGUCAGCCAACCCAUUGAUGUCUAUCUUCUGCCUUGCUCACUGGUGUCCAGAGCUGCCAAGUAAGAAGAUUAAGUCUGCUGUGUUGUAAGGACUCUCAAGCUCCAAGGAGACAUUACACGAAUACGGGUCCCAGUCCAUAGUUCCACCUGAGUCAGUCUUCCAGUCAUCCCAGGCCAGCUGUCCGAUGUAUAGGAAACAGCAUCAGGGGCUGUUGACUUUAUGGAUCAGAAUCACCAUCAUGAGUGUGGGAAGUAGGACCUCAAGUUUCAGGCAAGUGGAUUCAAUAUAUGCCUUUCCCCAGGGCGAGAGGCUCACAAAGCAAGAGGAAUGUCAUUUUUCAGUCAACAGAAAUAGAGCUUUUUGUCUGCAAUAGUAACUUGAAACAGGAAGUACUCUUCAGAAGUUGAUGCUCUUGACCAAGACUAUGGAUGAAGUGGAUACAAGGCUAUACCCUGAGCACUUCCUUUGGGAAGAAACAACAAGAAAUUCCUACCGUUUGAUCCUCUAUCUGUGGAGUGAAUAUCGAAGAGGUACAACAAGGCAGCUAUUCACAUAGGAGGGGCUUUCAGAAGACUCCUACCUUGUGCGGAUACAGAACUGCAGAAGACAACAGUCAAGACAAGGGUAAAAUGAGCUGGCGAAAACCUAAAGGCAAUGGACUAGAUAACAUGAAUUAGGAGUUAAAGCCUCAGAGAUCCAAAUGGCUUUCCCAGUGAAAAAUUCAUUUAUCUUGACCUAAGACAGGAAAUGAGGAGGAGAAAGAAGUCAUCAAGCAGAAGAAAACUUAAACAUUUGAAGAGAGAAAGUCAAUGUGCUCCAGAUGCCUAUAGUGGAGACAUUUUGGGAAAAGUUCCAGAAGUUUGAUGGAGCUAGUGUGUAUCAGUGGAAUUGUGCCCUUCCUGCAGAGCCCUCUGGAGGGCCAAUAAACCCCAUUGCAGGUCACCAUGCUGGUUGGACUCUCAUGAAGAGGGAAAGGGAAUGGGUAGAGCCAUGGAGGAGGAGUGAUGUCGCCAGGAAUAAUUUUCAAGAACGUUUUAUGAUAAUGGGAUGAACAUCUUCAGUGGUGAUCAAAGAUAGAGAGCAAUUAACACUGAGAAGAAAGAUUCAUAAGUUUAGCAUAGUAAAAUUUGAUUUGGAAUUCCCAGCUUUGCUCCCAACUAUUUUAAAAGGUCCCUCCUGACGCUGCCUAUCCCUAUUGUGAAAACUCAAGUUUUCCGCAAAAUUACUAAUGUCUCACAUACCACGGUGCUGUGCUCUUUAACUCCCAAGAUAAUUAUUCCUCUCAAAGCAAGGAAGUCACUGAUGGGAAUACAGUUAACUUUACUGGGCAGCAAAUUUGCAUUUAUUCCUUCUGGGAGAAUUAGUCUGAGGCAGUAUAACUUGAAGGAUCUCUAUAAAGAGUAAAUAUCGAUUGAGACUUGGCUUUUGUUUUCCUCAAUAAUCUAGAAAUAAGAUGGGCUGUAAGUAUCCUGCAAAUGUCCUUUCUCUCCCUAGAACCCAUGAACUCACUCUCCCCACCUCAGGCCAUCUGGUGUCUGCAUUAGACUUCCAUGUGGUUUUUCACUCACAAGACCAAGUCUGCACCCACCCUCUCUCAUGUCAGGAAUUUGAUCCCAGCAAUGCUUUGUCCAGCACUUCCGCUCCUUCUUUCACAUGUUUCUUGAAGCACCAUGAUUUCCCUGAAUAAUAAAAGCUUUUUUUCUCCUUAUUGUUUUUCUUCUAUAGAGCCUCCAGAUAUGAAAUCAAAUGUUGUACAUAAACUGUGUGCAUACUUUAUUUGUGUGUUUAUUAUUUAUUCAUAGGUAUUGGUUGUUGUUUGCAUCCAUGGCUUAGAUGUUCUCUGUAGAAAUAUUCUCUUUUUUUGUGUCAA